This 274-nucleotide ribosomal RNA is filed under the name uncultured bacterium. RNAcentral's name for it is "partial 16S ribosomal RNA". It matches the Rfam family "Bacterial small subunit ribosomal RNA", at positions 523 to 796 of the family's 1533-position model. The record is from RNAcentral.
AUACGGAGGGUGCAAGCGUUGUUCGGAAUCACUGGGCGUAAAGGGCGCGCAGGCGGUUUGGUAAGUCAGAUGUGAAAGCCCAUGGCUCAACCAUGGAAGUGCAUUUGAAACUGUCAGACUUGAGUACUAGAGGGGAAAGUGGAAUUCCCGGUGUAGAGGUGAAAUUCGUAGAUAUCGGGAGGAAUACCGGUGGCGAAGGCGACUUUCUGGCUAGAUACUGACGCUGAGGCGCGAAAGCGUGGGGAGCAAACAGGAUUAGAUACCCUUGUAGUCC